GGAGAGAUGGCUGAGUGGUUGAUAGCU
Molecule: transfer RNA, 27 nt
Filed under: Raddia maculata
Lineage: Eukaryota; Viridiplantae; Streptophyta; Magnoliopsida; Poales; Poaceae
Also listed under: 3 other names
Description: Sucrea maculata partial tRNA-Ser
Source: RNAcentral